RNAcentral lists this unclassified non-coding RNA (86 nucleotides) under Pseudomonas lini. Lineage: Bacteria; Pseudomonadati; Pseudomonadota; Gammaproteobacteria; Pseudomonadales; Pseudomonadaceae. The record is from RNAcentral.
UGUGGGAGCUGGCUUGCCUGCGAUGCAGACGGCUCGGUUUAACGUCGAACCGAGUUGAUGCCAUCGCAGGCAAGCCAGCUCCCACA